UUUCCCUCAGGAUAGCUGGCACUCGCUCGAGCGAGUCUCAUCUGGUAAAGCGAAUGAUUAGAGGCCUUGGGGCCGAAACGACCUCAAGCUAUUCUCAAACUUUAAAUGGGUGAGAUCUCUGGCUUGCUUGAACAUGAAGCCACGAGAUUUCGGAUCAGAGUGCCAAGUGGGCCAAUUUUGGUAAGCAGAACUGGCGCUGUGGGA
Molecule: ribosomal RNA, 204 nt
Filed under: Epichrysomallinae gen. n. 1 sp. 1222_19
Lineage: Eukaryota; Metazoa; Arthropoda; Insecta; Hymenoptera; Epichrysomallidae
Description: partial 28S ribosomal RNA
Rfam family: Eukaryotic large subunit ribosomal RNA
Source: RNAcentral